CGUAGCUAGUCACUAUACUGACUGAGCUAUCCCGGCUCAUACAAAAAAUGGGUAACAGUUAUAAUAAUUCAUCUAUUUCUUGGAAGAAUUAUUCAUGACUGAUUGUUUUGUGUCAAAAUCACUGUCCCUUAGAACCAGUGAAUAGCCAUAAUACAGAUAAUAUUCUUUUCUCUGCUCAUACAGCUAUACAUAUGUACCCUACUGAAACUUCAACACAGUUUGUUUAUACUUUAAUCUCAUUACUUGUUUAUAAAUGACAGCAUAUUCUUUGGUUACAUGGAACUUCAGAUUUUUCAGAACAGUUGUAUGUUUUAUGUUAUCAUUAUCAGUAUCAGUAUUUGUAUUAUCAUUAGCAGUGUAUUAUCAAUAUCAAUAUAAUUGGUAUGUUGGACCAUUAGUCACAUAGCAAUAAAAUAAAAUAAAAUAAUUAUUAGUAUUUUCUAAGUGAGUGUCUUCUUCAUGAAAAAUUAUAAGUAAUUUUAGCAAUAGUGCACAUUUCUUGCGGGAAGCCAAGGCAAAACUUAAAGGGCUGUAGUGCUACAGGAAGAAGGAGCGUAUUUCUUGGCACUAUUAUAUCCAUGUAUUAAUAUAUACAUAUAUAAAAUACAUACCAUUUUCUUUACACAGUACUGUUUUCAAAGUUAGUGGUGUGUGCGUGAUGCAAUGAAAGUUCGUAUCCUAAAAAGAUAAUUAAAUCGGUGGCCAGAUUCAAAUAAUGAAAGCCAAUAUAACCAAAUUCUUCACACAGCUAACUAUGAAAUAGUUUGCAACAGAUAAUGCUGAUUCAAAUAAAACUAACCCCUCAUCAAGGCCAUUUAAAUACUAGAUGUUAAGCCAUGGUGCAUUAUUAUUUUUUAAAUGCUACAGCAUUUUCUUUGCAGUGAUGUACCAAAACUCAAAUGUCUUAACUACUCUAUGUAAAUUUUGUCAUGUAGUUUGGUUAUGUCAUUGUACGACUGUAUUGAAUCUUCUGCCAGAGAGAGGGCACUUCACAGAGACAGAUUGUUUUUUUCCUACUUCCAUAAGAAAUACAUAUUACACUGAAAACAUGUUCAAAUUAAAAGUGGUUGAGUUAAUUGAGAUCAGUAAUUUAUAGUGUACCAGUUGUUGGUACUGUGAACCAUUUUUAAGAAAUGUGGCAAGUUCCAUUUGAGCUUCAUAUGAGGUUAUGUUUAUAUUGGACCAUUGUGGGUCAAAAUGAAAUCUGUCCAACAGCUUUGAAUGUAGAUCUUCAAUAUAAAAUUUCAUCAUCGGGUAAGUGCUUUUUAAAUGAACAUUUUCAGCAAGUUAUUAAUGUGUGAAAUGUAAAAAUUGAAAAGAAGUGUUGUGUUACAUGGUGGCACUUUAUUCUAUGGGCAUUCUUUAUACAAUUAACAAAUUUCUCACAGGCCAGAAACUGAAUUGAUGAUCUUCUGCUUAACAUAGCAUAUCAUUACAGUUGUUAUGAAAGAUAAAGAUAGGUCUUUCUCAACAGAUUAAAGCUUGUACAUAAAUUGCUUACCGAAGAAUGAGACAUUCCUUCACUUAAGUUAAUAUCACUGUGCAUCUUUUCCCAGUCUCUUGAUACUCUUUUUUAGGUCAAAAUAUUUUCAACAAUUUGUUCUCAAAGGCCAUCACUUGUAGUGGAAGUCCAAGUUUAACGUCUAUACAAAACAACAAGUAAAGUAUAUUUUUGUGUAUUUUAAUUGCCUUUUAUGGGAGACUGGAAGACUUAACUCAAACAUUGUCCAAAUUUAAUAUGCUUUUAACCCUUUGUGAAACUAUGGGGAAUGGUAGGUGCUACAAUGAUUUGGAUUGACUUUUAUCCAGCCAGAUCUGGUACGUAUUUUUCUCAGUGCCUUUCUAUUAUUUCAACUUCAACAAAAUCCGAACGUUGUGAAUUGUGAGUCCUUAUCAUCAUCAUCAUCAUGAACAUUCCAUUGUGCAUUUUUAUGAAGUCCUAAUUCUGCCAGUGCCAACCAUUUGUGUAUCUGAGGAUUCUGGCUUUGUUAGUCUCUUCUGUAUUUCUUUUCUACCGGAGGCAUUACUUUGAUGUAAAUGUUUUGUGCGGUUCGGGGUAAUUAAGCGCAUUUCCGUCAUGAAUGUUAAUUUUGUAAAAAUUAUUAUCCCCAAGUAGCAUGGUUACUAGGUAACUUAUCGAGAAUAUGUUGGUAGCGCUGCAGUGUUUGGCAAUGUGAAGAUUUUACACUGAGCAUGGCAGUCAGCGCAAAGCCAUGUAGGUAUGUAGUUAUGCAGGUGGCGCUAUAUCUAAAAGGAUGUACAUGCUGUGCUGUGGAACUGAGGAGGUUGACAUCUGAGUUCAUUAUGCGAGAUUAAGGAGCCAGUUCCAUAUGGCAUAUCUUCUGUAGAAGCAUAGGAUUGGUCAUCUCUGCACAGAGCAUAUGAAUCUGGAAUGUCCGCCCACUUUUGUCUCUCUCCGGACGCAAAUAAACCAUAGAACAAUGCUCCAGCCAGCUUUGGGCUGUGCCAUUGCUCAGGUAGUUAGCUGCUGGCUUUUCACGUCGGAGACCCAGGUUUGACCCCAGCUGACUUCAAAUAAUAGAUGAAGUGGCACUGGAACAGUGUAUGAAUAAUUGCUUGUCAUCGCAACUAUAGCAACACUCAGAUUUACUCUCAGGGAAUAGACGUUGCAGAAACCUAAGAAUGCCAUAAUCGCAACCACAUACCGCCGCGGAAUUGAAAAGUGCCAUUUUGAACUG
Long non-coding RNA from Zootermopsis nevadensis, 2699 nucleotides. RefSeq lists it as uncharacterized. NCBI's taxonomy places the organism in Eukaryota, Metazoa, Arthropoda, Insecta, Blattodea, Termopsidae. The record is from RefSeq and is a predicted model, not a curated record.